UUACACUGAACAAACCUGUAGUGUCUGAGUUCCACCUCCAUCGAUCUUCUAUGUUCAAAUGUACUUUCAAGCCGAAUAAAAGUUGUUCUAAUUCUGCUUUCUCUACUAACUCAGCAUGCGAUAAUGACGAUAACCAAUCUCUAUUCCAAUUUAACUCAAAACUAUCUGCUUGAAUUAAUUCUGACACGACACUAUCUUUGUGCAAUACUUUCUCAAAUAAGCUAGGAAAUAGGUCUCUUAAAAGAACAGCUCCAUACCAUUUCUCUUUCCAAAAACCAAUUGAUUUACCAUUACCCAACACACU
RNAcentral lists this long non-coding RNA (304 nucleotides) under Trifolium pratense (red clover). Its description in RNAcentral is "long non-coding RNA (TPRA_LNC007816)". Lineage: Eukaryota; Viridiplantae; Streptophyta; Magnoliopsida; Fabales; Fabaceae. The record is from RNAcentral.